GGGGAUAUGGCGAAAUUGGUAGACGCUACGGACUUAA
This 37-nucleotide transfer RNA is filed under the name Citrus sinensis (sweet orange). RNAcentral describes it as "tRNA-Leu". RNAcentral also lists the same sequence under 140 other names. Lineage: Eukaryota; Viridiplantae; Streptophyta; Magnoliopsida; Sapindales; Rutaceae. The record is from RNAcentral.